CUGCAGGUGGCCUCCAGGUGCAAAGUGGGAAGUGUGAGUCCUCAGUCUUGGGCUAUUCGGCCACGUGCCUGCCGGACAUGGGACGCUGGAGGGUCAGCAGCGUGGAGUCCUGGCCUUUUGCGUCCACGGGUGGGAAAUUGGCCAUUGCCACGGCGGGAACUGGGACUCAGGCUGCCCCCCGGCCGUUUCUCAUCCGUCCACCGGACUCGUGGGCGCUCGCACUGGCGCUGAUGUAGUUUCCUGACCUCUGACCCGUAUUGUCUCCAGAUUAAAGGUACGACAUUUGGAGGCCCCAGCGAGAAACGUCACCGGGAGAAACGUCACCGGGCGAGAGCCGGGCCCGCUGUGUGCUCCCCCGGAAGGACAGCCAGCUUGUAGGGGGGAGUGCCACCUGAAAAAAAAAUUUCCAGGUCCCCAAAGGGUGACCGUCUUCCGGAGGACAGCGGAUCGACUACCAUGUGGGUGCCCACAAAAAUUCCACCUCUGAGUCCUCAACUGCUGACCCCGGGGUCAGGUCCAGAUUUUGAACAAAUCUCGCUAGAGAUUGAACAGAGCUGCGCCUGGAUCCCGCCACAGUGAGGAGACCUGAAGACCAGAGAAAACACAGCAAGUAGGCCCUUUAAACUACUCACCUGUGUUGUCUUCUAAUUUAUUCUGUUUUAUUUUGUUUCCAUCAUUUUAAGGGGUUAAAAUCAUCUUGUUCAGACCUCAGCAUAUAAAAUGACCCAUCUGUAGACCUCAGGCUCCAACCAUACCCCAAGAGUUGUCUGGUUUUGUUUAAAUUACUGCCAGGUUUCAGCUGCAGAUAUCCCUGGAAGGAAUAUUCCAGAUUCCCUGAGUAGUUUCCAGGUUAAAAUCCUAUAGGCUUCUUCUGUUUUG
This 879-nucleotide long non-coding RNA is filed under the name Homo sapiens (human). RNAcentral describes it as "PREDICTED lncRNA (TCONS_00141634)". The record is from RNAcentral. Lineage: Eukaryota; Metazoa; Chordata; Mammalia; Primates; Hominidae.